Molecule: long non-coding RNA, 1069 nt
Organism: Acinonyx jubatus (cheetah)
Lineage: Eukaryota; Metazoa; Chordata; Mammalia; Carnivora; Felidae
Exons: 3
Source: RefSeq, a predicted model, not a curated record
GCUACCCAUUCCAUAUUCUUCAGCAAGCACCUUGGCUGGUUAUGAUUCCUUACCCAGUAGGAUGUCGCAAACCUUCAUUCAUGAAGAAUCUGGGCCACGAACAGAUCUGCCACAAUUAGAUUGUUGCAGUUUGCCAUUGACUUUAAUCCAGGGUAUAGUGCUAAGGCACUUCCUGAAUAUCAGACAUACUCUUCCUUACCUCCAUUAUGUGAAACAGCACCGUAUACUGGAUGCCAAUUUAGAGUAAAUACAGCCUCCUGGAGAACCUUGCCCCAACCCUGCAAGAUACUGCCAACUCGCUGGUUCUGUAAGGCAGUCUUCAAGUGGCCAUUACACUACUCUAUCCAGCCAACUGCUUCAGGAUGGUGGGAAAUAUGCUUUAUUAAGGGAUAAUUCUCAUACAAGAAAUCAUGAUGAACGUGUACAAGUGGAUAAGCUUUGACAUCUGUACGUAUCCCUGCAACCACCAGACUGAUGAAGGCAGUGACCAUAACCAUCACUCCUCCAAGCUUUCUUGUGCCCUUGGUGAUUCCUCCCUACCUCAGCCUCCUCCCCUCCACCCUCCUUCCUUGGGGCAACCACUGAUCUGUUUGCUGUCACAAGGGUUAUUAGUUUAGCAUUACUUUUAAUAAUCUGUAACGAAACUGAAAUCAUCCUUUUCACGCAAUUUGAAAAAAGAAAAGAUCUGCUUUGUUUCCUAACUGGAAGAAAAAGUAACAACCCUAAGAGCAAAAGGGUGACACACAGGUCAUUAGAAAACACUCUUAAUUGAGUAAUGAUUGUGCAGAUUCUCUUUCAUACUCCACAGCCUAAUGCUAAUUGGAUUAAAGAGUCAAGAAUCCAGGAAAUGAAGUAAAAGAGGAGGUGUGUUGAUUUUAAUAAAUAGGGUUUUUUUUUUCCCUGUCUCAUCUGUCAGCUUAUUUCUAAUUAAUAAAUGGAUUUUCAAAACCUGGCCAAAAAUAACAGCGGUUCAAAUACACGAUAUGGUUCUUAAAAAAAAAAAAAAGCAGCUGCAUGUUGGAGUUCUCUGCAAUAAUAAAGUGAAUUGUUGCAAAUGAUAUUAAAACCC